GACGAACGCUGGCGGCGUGCUUAACACAUGCAAGUCGAACGGAAAGGCCCUGCUUUUGUGGGGUGCUCGAGUGGCGAACGGGUGAGUAACACGUGAGUAACCUGCCCUUGACUUUGGGAUAACUUCAGGAAACUGGGGCUAAUACCGGAUAGGAGCUCCUGCUGCAUGGUGGGGGUUGGAAAGUUUCGGCGGUUGGGGAUGGACUCGCGGCUUAUCAGCUUGUUGGUGGGGUAGUGGCUUACCAAGGCUUUGACGGGUAGCCGGCCUGAGAGGGUGACCGGCCACAUUGGGACUGAGAUACGGCCCAGACUCCUACGGGAGGCAGCAGUGGGGAAUAUUGCACAGUGGGCGGAAGCCUGAUACAGCGACGCCGCGUGCGGGAUGACGGCCUUCGGGUUGUAAACCGCUUUCGCCUGUGACGAAGCGUGAGUGACGGUAAUGGGUAAAAAAGCACCGGCUAACUACGUG
Molecule: ribosomal RNA, 468 nt
Filed under: uncultured bacterium
Lineage: Bacteria
Description: partial 16S ribosomal RNA
Rfam family: Bacterial small subunit ribosomal RNA
Source: RNAcentral